GAUGAACGCUGGCGGCGUGCCUAAUACAUGCAAGUCGAGCGAACAGACGAGGAGCUUGCUCCUUUGACGUUAGCGGCGGACGGGUGAGUAACACGUGGAUAACCUACCUAUAAGACUGGGAUAACUUCGGGAAACCGGAGCUAAUACUGGAUAACAUGUUGAACCGCAUGGUUCAACAGUGAAAGACGGUCUUGCUGUCACUUAUAGAUGGAUCCGCGCCGCAUUAGCUAGUUGGUAAGGUAACGGCUUACCAAGGCAACGAUGCGUAGCCGACCUGAGAGGGUGAUCGGCCACACUGGAACUGAGACACGGUCCAGACUCCUACGGGAGGCAGCAGUAGGGAAUCUUCCGCAAUGGGCGAAAGCCUGACGGAGCAACGCCGCGUGAGUGAAGAAGGUCUUCGGAUCGUAAAACUCUGUUAUUAGGGAAGAACAAAUGUGUAAGUAACUAUGCACGUCUUGACGGUACCUAAUCAGAAAGCCACGGCUAACUACGUG
Molecule: ribosomal RNA, 497 nt
Filed under: uncultured bacterium
Lineage: Bacteria
Description: partial 16S ribosomal RNA
Rfam family: Bacterial small subunit ribosomal RNA
Source: RNAcentral